This 468-nucleotide ribosomal RNA is filed under the name uncultured bacterium. RNAcentral's name for it is "partial 16S ribosomal RNA". It matches the Rfam family "Bacterial small subunit ribosomal RNA", at positions 28 to 507 of the family's 1533-position model. The record is from RNAcentral.
GACGAACGCUGGCGGCGUGCUUAACACAUGCAAGUCGAACGGAAAGGCCCUGCUUUUGUGGGGUGCUCGAGUGGCGAACGGGUGAGUAACACGUGAGUAACCUGCCCUUGACUUUGGGAUAACUUCAGGAAACUGGGGCUAAUACCGGAUAGGAGCUCCUGCUGCAUGGUGGGGGUUGGAAAGUUUCGGCGGUUGGGGAUGGACUCGCGGCUUAUCAGCUUGUUGGUGGGGUAGUGGCUUACCAAGGCUUUGACGGGUAGCCGGCCCGAGAGGGUGACCGGCGACAUUGGGACUGAGAUACGGCCCAGACUCCUACGGGAGGCAGCAGUGGGGAAUAAUGCACAAUGGGCGGAAGCCUGAUGCAGCAACGCCGCGUGCGGGAUGACGGCCUUCGGGUUGUAAACCGCUUUCGCCUGUGACGAAGCGUGAGUGACGGUAAUGGGUAAAGAAGCACCGGCUAACUACGUG